CUACGGGGUGCUGCAGUGAGGAAUAUUGCACAAUGGGGGAAACCCUGAUGCAGCAACGCCGCGUGGAGGAUGACGCAUUUCGGUGUGUAAACUCCUUUUAUGAGUCAAGAAAAUGACGGUAGCUCAUGAAUAAGCACCGGCUAACUCCGUGCCAGCAGCCGCGGUAAUACGGAGGGUGCAAGCGUUACUCGGAAUCACUGGGCGUAAAGGACGCGUAGGCGGGUUGGAAAGUCAGGUGUGAAAUCCUACAGCUUAACUGUAGAACUGCACUUGAAACUUCUAACCUAGAGUAUGGGAGGGGGAGAUGGAAUUAGUGGUGUAGGGGUAAAAUCCGUAGAUAUCACUAGGAAUACCGAAAGCGAAGGCGAUCUCCUGGAACAUUACUGACGCUAAGGCGUGAAAGCGUGGGGAGCAAACGGGAUUAGAUACCCCCGUAGUC
Molecule: ribosomal RNA, 439 nt
Filed under: uncultured bacterium
Lineage: Bacteria
Description: partial 16S ribosomal RNA
Rfam family: Bacterial small subunit ribosomal RNA
Source: RNAcentral